GAUGAACGCUGGCGGCGUGCCUAAUACAUGCAAGUCGAACGGACAGGCCCUGCUUUUGUGGCGUGCUCGAGUGGCGAACGGGUGAGUAACACGUGAGUAACCUGCCCUUGACACUGGGAUAACUUCAGGAAACUGGGGCUAAUACCGGAUAGGAGCUCCUGCUGCAUGGUGUGGGAUGGAAAGUUUCGGUGGUGGGGGCUGGACUGGCGGCAUCCCAGCUUGUUUGUGGGGUUGGGGCUUACCAAGGCUUUGACGGGUAGCCCGCCUGAGAGGCUGACCGGCGACACUGGGACUGAGGUACGGCCCAGGCUGCUACGGGAGGCAGCAGUGGGAAAUAUUGCAGAAGGAACGGAAGCCUGAUGCGGCAGCUCCGCGUGCGGGAAGACGGCCUUCGAGGUGAAAACCAGUUUCGCCUGUGACGAAGCGUGAGUGGCGGUAAUGGGUAAAGAAGCCCCGGCUAACUACGUG
RNAcentral lists this ribosomal RNA (468 nucleotides) under uncultured bacterium. RNAcentral's name for it is "partial 16S ribosomal RNA". It matches the Rfam family "Bacterial small subunit ribosomal RNA", at positions 28 to 507 of the family's 1533-position model. The record is from RNAcentral.